UCUUAAAGUAUUUCUUAACCCGACUACUAGGUUAACCUAACCUACCAGGUAAGUUUUAGUGAAUUUCAGUUGUCAAAGCACUAUCCGUUCAAUUAUAAGAAACAGGCAUUUUCAUGUAUAGCCCAGAUUCAGUCUCAAGAGUUUUCUUACCCCGAAGUUAUAACAAAACAUCCAGGUUUACUACUUAAAACAAAAAAAAAUCUAGUAAGCUGGGCUUUCUCAGACAUUCACGACCAGUGUGAAAGUUUUCAUUAGAGCCUUUCCUGAAAACAAGCCCUGACCUCAAGUCGUGCACUGUCCUGGUUUUGCCCUGUGGAGGUCUGAGCUACAGAAAUGCACACUGAUUGCACUUCAAAGUCAGAAAACCUAAUUUGGGGGCAGAGCCCUAGGCCUGGGUCGCCUUAACCUUUAAGGUAGGUAAUGUUUGCAGCAAGUGACAGAAAUGAAAACACUCUCAGGUAUAAGGGCCCCUAAGAUAGCUUCUAUUCUUCAUAGCCAAGUGGUGCUGUGCUGUUCUCUUUGCUACGUCCUACCCAGAACCAGGGUUUCACUGGGUUUCCCUUGAGGUACACAUUUCCUGGAUCAUUACCGUUCAUGAGAUAAAGCAUACUCAUACACACACACACACACACUUCACUUUAAACGUCAGGUUCCUAAAGCUUCAUAACAAAAUGAAGCUAAAAGAUCAUAAGCCACCAGAUUCAGCUUAUAAAUUAUAAAUCACCAAAAACAUUUUUCAAAACAACUGAUUUUGACCUCAGAGAAACUAGGCAACAGUUACUGUUUGUUUCUCGUUUAGUAGACUGGAGCAUGUCGUGAAAAAUCAGGCUUAGUACCUCGGCCGCUUUCUCGGUGAAGAAACGGUUAGUGUUCUCUUGUUUUUGCUUUCACAGAGACAACGUGUAUACUUGGGAGUGGAGAAUUUCUGGGGUUUGCUCUCCGAGAGAUGCUUGUCAGCCACAACUGGCCAGAUGUGGCUUCGUGGAACAGGCAACGAAGACCUCACUUACAGAGCCACGUCUUGGUGCUGCCGUCGUGAAUGUAGCCGCGAGUGGCACAGCCCCCUUCCCCCGUUUGCAAGGAAGAUGAGAAGUGGAGGGGCCGGGAACCCCACACCGG
RNAcentral lists this long non-coding RNA (1119 nucleotides) under Lynx pardinus (Iberian lynx). The record is from RNAcentral. Lineage: Eukaryota; Metazoa; Chordata; Mammalia; Carnivora; Felidae.